CUCGGCCCCGGGGGUGGGUCAAGGAUCCUCAGACCCCACUCACCGGCUGGAAGGCGCAGGAGGGUGGGGCUUUGGCGGAUUGAUUGGCAUUUCCUCCCCAUCUCUUCCCUCCUGACCUCCCGAUAGGGUUUCUCCCUGGAUGGUUGACAGGAUGGGACGGAAGCCUCUUGCUGCUGGCACCUCCCAGGAGCAGCAGGCCUCAGAGCUUCUCCACGCAGGCCUCCCACGGUGUUGGAGCAACAGGGGGCCCGGCAGCUGGCCUCCUCACCCUGCUCCACAGAGAGCCAUGUGACGGCCCCGGCUCUGAGAUCAAGACCUCCUGCUCUUAAGAAAACAGAUCAGAGACGUUGGCAUCAAAAUAAAAUAUGUUCAGAGGAAGCAAGUAACCCUGUGAGUAAAACACAGGCCACAGGAUUGAAGCAAAAGGUCUGAGCAGAACCCGGAGCUACAGUGACCAUGAGUUCAAGUUCAUCCUCCCUGGACUCGUCCUUUUGUUUGGAGCACAGCCAAGGAUCUCGCUCUGCCUCUGCACUAGCUGCCUCGUCAAUCCAGCAAAGGUGUAUCCACGCACCGGCAGCGUCAGCAUCGCCUGGGAGCUCGUGAGAAAUGCAGACUCUCGGGCUCCACCCCAGACCUGCUGGAUCGGACUCUGCGUUUGACAGAAUCUCCAGGGGAUUCUUGUAUACACCCAAGUCUGAGGAGUACAAGUCUAUCCCGCAGAUGCCCCACCAAACUGGGCACGUUAUCAGAAUCCUCUAUAAAGCUUAAAAAAUUCCUAGACCUCAUCCCCAAUUCACCGAAUCAAAAUCACCAUGGGUGGCCCAGGGAUUGGUACUCUGCUCUAAUAUUUUAUUUGAAAAUUUUCAGACAUAUAGAAAUGCUGUACCCAGGUACCUACAUCCUAGAUUCUAGGAUUGUCAGAAUUUUACUAUUUGAUUCAUCGCAUAUCUAUGCAUUAUUCCAUCCGUCAACCCAUCUCAGACAUCAAGAGCCGUCAUCCCUGAACACGUCAGUAUGUACAUCAUUAAUUUUUAACAAGAUCUCCAGUUGAUUCCUGUGCUGUGACCCCAGUAUCCAACCUUGAACCUUCUGGAACUGUUCAUCAAAUACCAGUCUUUUUCUCUGUCCACAGGGAACAGUACUUGGGACUUGGUAAAAAUCCUUCCUCUCCCUCCAAUUUUGUAAAAGGUGAUGCUACAGAUUCUCUCAGUGCUGUGACUUUCAGCAUUAGGAGAUGGUUUCUGGUGUUUGACCUAAUUCCACGUCGCUCCAUUAAUCUCAUCUCCUCUUUCUCUUGGUAGGGCAUUAGACAGCGGCCACUCCUGACUGCCUCUUCUGCAGGCCUUGUGUUUAAACGAUGUUAUUAACAGAUGCUGCCAUGUCUCCAAAACCUUCCUGGUGUUUUCCCUCCAAAAACUAUCUCCUGGCAAAAUGUUCUAGUUUUUCAGCAUUCCAUCUGUGGAGACUAACGAUGAGUCUUCUGUUGUGCUUUCCGAUUCUGUAGUCAAGAAUCUUGGGAAGGACCUUGGGGACAACAGGCUAUGUUGCCAUGGCUUCUGGGUUUUGGAAUUCCAUGGACCAGCGAGCAGCGAUUUCACCUACACCUCUGGUUUUCC
Equus caballus (horse) is the source of this 1616-nucleotide long non-coding RNA. The record is from Ensembl. Lineage: Eukaryota; Metazoa; Chordata; Mammalia; Perissodactyla; Equidae.